CGCUCCCAGGAGGAGAGGGUUCUGCAGCUGCUGUGGCAGCCCCGCGCCCAGGCCGAGCAGGGUCAGGGCCGCCAGCGCGCCAGCAAGUCCAAGCUCAGAGAGGUGAAGUAAUUUGUCCAAGGACACACAGCAAAUAAGAAGCCAAACCAUAAGAGCCAGUGAUCUUAAGAGUGAUGACACCAUCCUAGUCCCUCUGGAGGCAUCUCAGAGAGAGAAGGGGAGAUGAAAAACCCAGGCCUUCCAGGUGGCUCCAACUGUGCUAGGAGUUUGAGUCUGAAAAUAGGCCUCCAACUGGGAUCUCUUGAAAGGACAGCAAACCACCAGCGUUGGGAGUUGUUGGGAGCUCCUAACCUAGAGUACCUGGGAAGCUCCCAAGGAAAGGGAGAGAGAAGGAAAAGGCAAAGUUUUAGAUUCUACCUAUUGACUACUACAAAGGAACGUGAAGAUUUAGCUCUCAUACUGCCUUCCACAUUUUUCUGCGCAGCCUUUGUUUAUAUCAUAAGCCUGCAUUUACAAGAACCACGAGACAAAUUAUUCAGGCUGAGUCAGGAGUGUACCGUGAUUAUAAUUCCUUUGCUAGAUGUUCUGUUUUUCCUGGGGUAAGUGUUGCUUGGUUUUUUACUUGCUUAAUUUUCUACGCACCUAUCACGAAUUCAUCUAUCUAUUGUUAAUUCCCCUUAAUCUUUCCUUGAAGCGAAAAAUAAUCUAAAGAUUUGGUUUCCCAUCCAGAUAAGAAUACUUUCAAAAAGACUCACAGACUUCUGUAACAAAUACGUGGUUUCUUCAACAAAUAAACAGCUUGAAAAAAAGCAGGGGGAGGGGAAAACGUUAUAAAAGAGACUUAAGAGACAUAGCAGUCAAAUGCCACAUGUGGGCCUUGUUGGGAUCUUCACCCAAACAAACCAACUGCACAGAGGCGUUUUAAGAUGCCUGGGGGUGGUCUGAACAUUGGUUGGUCCUUAGCAGACUAAAGAAUAAACAUGUUUGGACUAGGUGAAUAACGGCAUAGUGGGUCAUGUUUUAAAAAUUCCUUAUCUGUUAGAGCUACUUACUAAAAUAUUUACGUGUGAAAUGAUAUCGUAUCUAAGAUUUACUUUUAAAACA
This is a long non-coding RNA of Orcinus orca (killer whale), 1104 nucleotides long. RefSeq lists it as uncharacterized. The record is from RefSeq and is a predicted model, not a curated record. The transcript is spliced from 3 exons. NCBI's taxonomy places the organism in Eukaryota, Metazoa, Chordata, Mammalia, Artiodactyla, Delphinidae.